GUUUCUGUAGUGUAGUGGUUAUCACGUUUCCUGAACAUGUAAAUGGUCCCUGAUUCGAAACCAGGCGGAAACA
Non-coding RNA from Gopherus evgoodei (Goodes thornscrub tortoise), 73 nucleotides. The record is from the annotation of a RefSeq genome assembly. Lineage: Eukaryota; Metazoa; Chordata; Testudines; Testudinidae.